RNAcentral lists this unclassified non-coding RNA (371 nucleotides) under Bartonella sp. RNAcentral's name for it is "partial 16S-23S ribosomal RNA intergenic spacer". The stretch from base 111 to 184 matches the Rfam family "tRNA". The record is from RNAcentral. Lineage: Bacteria; Pseudomonadati; Pseudomonadota; Alphaproteobacteria; Hyphomicrobiales; Bartonellaceae.
UGGCGAUCUGUUCAUGUCAGGCCUUAAACGAGCUUAAGGGAAGAGGCCUAUUUGAGGCGUUUUCUAUUUAUCAGAUUGUACCGGGGAAGGUUUUUCCGGUUUAGCCCGGAGGGCUUGUAGCUCAGUUGGUUAGAGCGCGCGCUUGAUAAGCGUGAGGUCGGAGGUUCAAGUCCUCCCAGGCCCACCAGUUUAUAAUUUCUGAUCUGCUUUCUGAUUGAUUUUAUAACUGCUUAUAGGAUCUAUGAGCUUAUAAGAGUGUAUAGCAGUUUUUUUAUGAAAUUCUGUUAGAGUGUUUUGAGGGUUUAGGACCGUUUGUUUAAGUUCAGAUGGUUUAGAGGCAUUUUCCCUUUUAAAUCCUGAAAUAGGGGCCG